GGGCAUCCUCUCGGAGCACUGGAUGAUUUGUGACAAAUACAAUUCAUCAACCUGACUGUGGAUCUCUGCAGCUCCCCAGCCAAGAGACCCAGUUACCGUGGUCGUCUUGGCUGCUUCUCUGAUUAAUGCUCUUCUUUCCCACCUCGACAGUUCAGAGAGGCUAGGGAAGCCUGUGACUCACCCACCCUGUCAAUCACCCUCCAUGUGCGCUGGCCCCGUCAGGCUGGAGGUGAGCACCGCUGACAGACUUCAAGCAACUAUCUCAAGGACAUCAGAGGGUAUUGUGACACAGGCACGCUACGCCUUUGAAAACCUCUCCUACCACUUAGAAUCUCCUUAUGCUGGCAAAAUAGAUACAGAA
Poecilia latipinna (sailfin molly) is the source of this 361-nucleotide long non-coding RNA. RefSeq lists it as uncharacterized. The transcript is spliced from 3 exons. The record is from RefSeq and is a predicted model, not a curated record. NCBI's taxonomy places the organism in Eukaryota, Metazoa, Chordata, Actinopteri, Cyprinodontiformes, Poeciliidae.